RNAcentral lists this ribosomal RNA (571 nucleotides) under uncultured bacterium. RNAcentral describes it as "partial 16S ribosomal RNA". It matches the Rfam family "Bacterial small subunit ribosomal RNA", at positions 355 to 919 of the family's 1533-position model. The record is from RNAcentral.
UGGGGAAUUUUGGACAAUGGGCGAAAGCCUGAUCCAGCAAUGCCGCGUGUGUGAAGAAGGCCUUCGGGUUGUAAAGCACUUUUGUCCGGAAAGAAAUCCUUGGCUCUAAUACAGUCGGGGGAUGACGGUACCGGAAGAAUAAGCACCGGCUAACUACGUGCCAGCAGCCGCGGUAAUACGUAGGGUGCAAGCGUUAAUCGGAAUUACUGGGCGUAAAGCGUGCGCGGGCGGUUUGCUAAGACCGAUGUGAAAUCCCCGGGCUCAGCCUGGGAACUGCAUUGGUGACUGGCAGGCUAGAGUAUGGCAGAGGGGGGUAGAAUUCCACGUGUAGCAGUGAAAUGCGUAGAGAUGUGGAGGAAUACCGAUGGCGAAGGCAGCCCCCUGGGCCAAUACUGACGCUCAUGCACGAAAGCGUGGGGAGCAAACAGGAUUAGAUACCCUGGUAGUCCACGCCCUAAACGAUGUCAACUAGUUGUUGGGGAUUCAUUUCCUUAGUAACGUAGCUAACGCGUGAAGUUGACCGCCUGGGGAGUACGGUCGCAAGAUUAAAACUCAAAUGAAUUGACGGGGU